UAGGGAAUAUUGCUUAAUGGGCGCAAGCCUGAAGCAGCAACGCCGCGUGUGCGAUGAAGGCCUUCGGGUCGUAAAGCACUUUUUGGAGGGAUGAGGAAGGACAGUACCUCCAGAAUAAGCCUCGGCUAACUACGUGCCAGCAGCCGCGGUAACACGUAGGAGGCAAGCGUUAUUCGGAUUUACUGGGCGUAAAGCGCAUGUAGGCGGUCUGGAAAGUUGGAUGUGAAAGCUCCCGGCUUAACUGGGAGAGGUCGUUCAAAACUACCAGGCUAGAGGAUGGGGGAGGGAGGUGAAAUUCCGGGUGUAGUGGUGAAAUGCGUAGAUAUCCGGAGGAACACCAGUGGCGAAAGCGGCCUCCUGGCCCAAACCUGACGCUCAGAUGCGAAAGCUAGGGUAGCAAACG
RNAcentral lists this ribosomal RNA (403 nucleotides) under uncultured bacterium. Its description in RNAcentral is "bacterial SSU rRNA". It matches the Rfam family "Bacterial small subunit ribosomal RNA", at positions 355 to 774 of the family's 1533-position model. The record is from RNAcentral.